UGGUGACACCAGUAACCCUUAAGAGUUUGUUUUCUGCACUUUCAAAAGUCUUUCUCUUAGGACUGCACUUCGCUGUAACAGGGGGGAUUUAAUCGAUCAAGUUGAAGGUCCUUGGUGAGCUCAGUGAGUGUGCUGCGUGACUGGUCUGCGUUGAUUUUUCAAAGUCCCAAGCACAUACACGCGAAAUUGAUUCAUUGAACUUGAAGCACAAAGCUUUCCUUCAGAGUUGAAAUGUGAACAUUUGAAAGUGGUUAUGCUCUCCUCUGUGGCCUGCUGAACGGCAAAUCUAUUUCAGUCCAAUGUAAUCAGGGAAGACCCUAUUUGCAGGUGUAAUCAUGCAGAAGAUCACAACCAGCACGAAUCAGUCACAGACUACAUGUAUUUCAGGUGUAACGUACUUCCUUUUACUGUAUAAUGGUAGAUAUCAGUGUACCGUUAUUAUUGCGAUUGACCAUGGGUUUGUUUCUUAUUGUAUCCUUGUGCUUUUGUGUGACUGUGGCGAUUUGCCAUUGUGUGCAUGCAUGCUUGUGUGUGUGUAUGUGUGUGUAUGUGUGUGUGUGUGUGUGUGUGUGUGUGUGUGUGUGUGUGUGUGUGUGUGUGUGUGUGUGUGUGUGUGUGUGUGUAUGUGUGUGUAUGUGUGUGUGUGUGUGUGUGUGUGUGUGUAUGUGUGUGUAUGUAUGUGUGUGUGUGUGUAUGUAUGUAUGUGUGUAUGUGUGUGUAUGUAUGUAUGUAUGUUUGUGUGUGUAUGUAUGUAUGUAUGUGUGUGUAUGUGUGUGUGUAUGUAUGUAUGUAUGUAUGUAUGUAUGUGUGUGUGUAUGUGUGUGUGUGUGUGUGUAUGUGUUACGAAUUUGUAGUACGACUAUGAUUUACGCAUGUCGUUGUAUUUGGUUCUUGUCUUGUGGAGUCCAGUGUCUGAUGUCAUAUAUGGUCUAGGUGUACGCGCGAGUAUGGUGUGAUGUGUGACGUUUAUGGUAUGUGGUGCAUGCAAGAGUACGCGUUGUCAGAGUGUGAGGAUGUGCUUCCGUCUGUGUGAGAGUGACUGUCAAGUGAAUGCUGUACAUGCGCAGUGCUAGUUUGGUCUGGGAAUGAGAGUCGUGUGUGAUUCGUCCGUGGUCUGGUUGUCUUGGUCUUGGUCAUGUGUUCUGUACGUAUUGGUCCCUGAUUGGUCGUCUCGAUUUGUCGUCGGUUUAUUACUGCUUGUUCGUUGUUUUUUUCUUUGAGUCUUUUCCCGGGAGUCUCUCCCGUCGUCGUUUUCUGUCUAGUCUUUUCGUCUUUCUCCUCCUGUGCCCUCGCCGUUUAUUAUUGAGAAGUGAAUACUAGUAUGGAAGCUAACUGAAUGGUGCGUUGUUGAGUGACCGGGGCCAGGGGGAGAAGCCUACAACUAUUUCCUUUACAUUGGCGCCCAACGUUCGCUCGACGCAGGGUACUAUCUCUGCAGCCCACGACCCUGGGAUCGUUUUGUUUUCACGGCCAUGGAGAUGGAAAGGCGUUCGCCAGCCUGGCCUGCAGGCCCCUUACCCGCCGUACAAGGUUGCCAUACGCGGAUUUCUCCAAGAUUCUGCACGGCUUCCUAUUCCAACUCGGAUCACGCAUCUCUGGCCACAACAUUCCGAUGUCUUAUCGUUUGGUUGUGUUUCCCCUUGUUUCUUUUCUCUGAUCUUUGUCCUUUGUUCUGAGAGUCGAGGUCGACUCUCGCCGGAGGGGAAGGCUAUGUUACGAAUUUGUAGUACGACUAUGAUUUACGCAUGUCGUUGUAUUUGGUUCUUGUCUUGUGGAGUCCAGUGUCUGAUGUCAUAUAUGGUCUAGGUGUACGCGCGAGUAUGGUGUGAUGUGUGACGUUUAUGGUAUGUGGUGCAUGCAAGAGUACGCGUUGUCAGAGUGUGAGGAUGUGCUUCCGUCUGUGUGAGAGUGACUGUCAAGUGAAUGCUGUACAUGCGCAGUGCUAGUUUGGUCUGGGAAUGAGAGUCGUGUGUGAUUCGUCCGUGGUCUGGUUGUCUUGGUCUUGGUCAUGUGUUCUGUACGUAUUGGUCCCUGAUUGGUCGUCUCGAUUUGUCGUCGGUUUAUUACUGCUUGUUCGUUGUUUUUUUCUUUGAGUCUUUUCCCGGGAGUCUCUCCCGUCGUCGUUUUCUGUCUAGUCUUUUCGUCUUUCUCCUCCUGUGCCCUCGCCGUUUAUUAUUGAGAAGUGAAUACUAGUAUGGAAGCUAA
This is a long non-coding RNA of Sycon ciliatum, 2205 nucleotides long. RefSeq lists it as uncharacterized. The transcript has 2 exons. The record is from RefSeq and is a predicted model, not a curated record. NCBI's taxonomy places the organism in Eukaryota, Metazoa, Porifera, Calcarea, Leucosolenida, Sycettidae.